Molecule: RNA transcript, 5113 nt
Organism: Ostrea edulis (European flat oyster)
Lineage: Eukaryota; Metazoa; Mollusca; Bivalvia; Ostreida; Ostreidae
Exons: 15
Source: RefSeq, a predicted model, not a curated record
GAUACUUAUUGACAAACUGUUUACAAAUGGAGUGAGUGAUUUAAUGACUUUUAAGUUUAGAAUUAUCUACAGAGCAUGUGGCCAGUGAAAAUUGAAUGUCAAUAAAGUGAGCAAUUCAUAUGAAAAAUAUUGACCAAAGUUCCAGUCUAAGAAAUUAAUUAAAGACUUUUGCAUUAGCUGCAGAUAGGGAACUGAAGUGUCUGGGUCGACUUUUUUGUUCUUAGUGGCUGAUAAAACAUGUUUUUCUAGCAUGGAGAGCCCUUAAAGAUUUCUUAGUCUAACGCACCUGAGAGAAAUAUUUGUAAAGUUGGCUUUAAGUGGAAAUUUAUAACAACAAGUGAUUGGUAACAAUCAGGGGAAAAAUUUUUCUUCUCCUGGUGGAUUGUUAUGGAGAUCUAUAGAAAAACAAAUAUUUUUUCUUUUAGGGUCUGUAAUAUUGUAUUGAAAAGACAUGGUGUAUUUGAAAAGAGAUAUGUUGCUCCUUCUCUUCAAAUGGUAAUAAGCAUUGGGAUAACAAGGAAUUUAUAAGAAAGUACCUGUGUUUUCACUUCUUUGUCGUUGCCAACAUGGAUAUAGCACUAGAUCAUUAAUUGAAGAAAAUAAAUCUGUUGUGGAACUAGCUAUUUUAAAAAAUGGACUGUUGGAUUUUUCACGUGUUUGUGUGAAGCAUCAGCGAAAUGCAAAUUUUGAAGGUUCUUUAAUCUCAAUCCAAUGAACAACAUUCAGAUUUUAAAAGGGAAAAUGUGAUAUAUUUGAAAUAAAUUGGCAUUUUGUCGAUUGGAGGCCAAGGGAGCAAAAGGACUCGAUUUGACAAAGACCAUGCUGUUUUUUGCCAUGUUCAGGUACCUGUGCCAAAAGCGGAGCACAAUGGUACAAGUCAGACAGAAAGUGUAAAAAAAAAAAAAAAAAAAAAACCAUGACAGGACAAGUGUGCAGUGUUUAGUACAAGUUUCACUUCUCUGUGUAUCCAUGUUUGAAGCUGUGAUCAAACAAGAUAUUACUGCCUUAUAUUUGAUGAAUGAAUGAUCCAUCUUCAAAUUAAUCAGUGAUAUGCUGGAUCUUGAUAAUGAUGUUAGCUUCCUGUCUCCUCCAUUGUGGCAGGAAAAGUAUGCAGUUCUUCCUCCAAUUCAGGAGGAGAUGAAUGGGGAUGAGGAAGGCGACCCAGACGAAGGCAGAGACCUGAUCUCCUGGGGAUGUGGAGAAUUUGGUCAGCACAGUCAUGGGCAUAAAGAGGACGUGGCUUUUUGUGACGGUCUUGUGAAGAAAUUUCCCACUGUACCAACCAAGUUGAUAGCCUGCGGAGCUAGCCAUACCAUUCUAGUUACCAAUGACAAUGAAAUAUAUUCCUGGGGAAAUGGUAACAGUGGACAACUUGGUACUAAUAUAAAGGAACUCCAGUGGCAGCCGGAACUGGUUCAUCUCUAUGAAAAUGACCCCGAGACUUUUCCCGAGGUAGCUGGUGUAGCCUGUGGAGGCAGACACUCCAUGGUCUGGUUGUCCAAUGGGAACGUGUUCAGCUUUGGCAACAACUUUCAUGCGCAACUCGGUUACGAUUACAGAUCAAAACAUUACAAAGAAAAUCAGGAAUUUCGCUUACCUGCUAUCAAUGGAGUGCAGGAAAAUCUCCAUAUUAACAGAAAGUCGCCCCAAAAUUGCAGGAAAAUAAUGGUGAAGCCAUAUCUUCUAAAGUUUCUUGUACACAAACCAGUCAUCCAAAUUUCUUGUGGAGAAAAGCAUUCAGUAUUCAGAUUUCAGGGAGGAACAAUUGCAUGUGUUGGGUCCAAUAAUAAUGGUCAGAUUGGGAGGGAAGAUCUGGAGGAGGCCACUAUUCCUGUCCCAAUAGAAAUUGCCAGACCGGUCACAUGUGUGGCCUCGGGAGCCAACCACAAUCUGGCCAUCACAGAUGAAGGAGAAGUGUACGUGUGGGGAUAUGGGAAAGGGUGCGGCAGCAAAAACAAAGAUAUUAUUUCGCCAGAGAAGGUACCCUUCAAAAGGAAGAGAGUGAUACAAGUAGCAGGAGGAGGAGCCCACAGCCUGGCCCUGACAGGAUCUGGGAGUGUUUAUGUCUGGGGUGGUGGUUAUGAUGGACAGCUAGGACUAGGCAACACUGUCACAUUUCAAAGUUCUCCAAAGAAACUAAGACAUUCCAAAUUGAAGAAUAAUGUUGUGCAGAUAGAAGCUGGGGAGAGCUACAGUGCUGCUCUUACAGAGAAUGGUGAUCUUUUUGUAUGGGGAAAGAACAGCCAUGUUAUUAGGCCUGACAAGCCUUCCAAUUCCAAGUUCUGGCUGCCAUUUCACAUCAACAAAGGGCUGAGACCCAUCCGAGAGGUGGUUUGUGGGGCCUGGCACGCUGCAGCCAUUGCUGGUCGUCCAGCACCACUUACACGGUUCCACACGUCAGAAGUCGCUGACCAAGAUUCCCCCAUGGCUUCUCCAGUAAAUGGUGCUCAUGAGGAUCAUGACACUUCUUCAGAGAGUGAGGGAGAUUUUUCAGAGUUACCCCAGAUAACGGUGAAAAAGGAGCCUACUGCUAACAAGGAAACAAGCAAGAUCAGCAUUGCUGACUUCUACUCGGGGCAAGACGUCUACUCCAAUGAAGGAGAGGCUCCUAGUCCAGCAUUUCUAAUGGAGGACAGCAGUGAUAAUCUGAAAGUAGAUACAACACAGAUGGACAAGCCAGAAAGUGCAAAAUCUCGUAUAGUGGUUCAAGUCCCCAGACCAUCCAACAACGUCGUGGAUGUGGCUACCUCGCCCAUUCCUUUUAGUGACUCGGACUCCGAGAGUCAAAGUGGUGCUAAGACACCACAUGUUCUUGCCAAACCAGUCAGUGCCAAAGUUAAGAAUGUGCCUCAGGUGAACUUGGAACCACUGCAGGUGGCUCCUAAUGAUCCACGAUUUGUGAACAGUAUUCAUUCUGGUAGCUUCAGAUCCGAUAGACCUCAUACAAAAGCGAGUGUUCAGCCCAAGUAUUUUACAACCCCGCCAGACAGAGAGAGGUCCAAUGUGUGCAAACAACCCUCAACCACUGUGAUACAGUUAAGCAAGUCGACUGCGGACAAUUUUGUGUUGCCAAGGGAGAACACUGGCUUUACUAGCAGACAAAUUGAUUUAACAGAUGUGGAGUAUGCAAGGGCAGUGAACUCAUCUAAAUCUAGUGAAAAACUAUACUGGAUAAAUAAAUUAAACGAGAGUCGUGAACGUGAAUUUCUUGGACGUAUGCAGAAUGGAAAUGCCCUGUUGCGUACUGUUACCCAAGAUUGUAAUGCUAGUCGAGGCGCAUCCAGGUCUGGUCGAAUGAGUGAUACUGCUGUAGUGAAUUUAUAUUGCUAUGAUAAUGUCUUGGAUGGAACUCCAGCGAAAUGGAAUCGCAGCAUAGAAAGCUCUCUUGGGGAUUAUGGACGCCAGUUUGGAAAUGGUGAUAUUCUGGAAGAAGCCAGAAGGGCUGCCAGACUACCUCCUAAAAAUAAUACUCCUAGUCGAAGCAUACCCAGCAAGAAGUCCUCAGAGGCCAAUUUUGUUUACCCACAGAAGGUAAGAUGUUGCUUUUUCAACUGGUGAAAAGGAAACCAGGGAUUGUGAAAUAAAAAGGGUCAAUAGUUGCAUGGAUUAUUUACGUAAACAUGUAUGUCAGCAUCAGGGCCUUUGGGUUGUUUAUGCAGUUUUGUGGAAAAUAUAGAAUAUUGGGCAUUAAUUGAUUUAUAUAAAGAUGGUUUGUACCUCUUGAAGUAUGUUGAGCACAAUCAUCAAAGUGUUUCUUGUGGUAGCAUGCAACACAGUAUAAAUUGUUUCAGAAAAAUAUGUCAAAACUUGCAUAAAGAAUAUCUGCACAUUUGUGUGUGUGUGAAUGAAAUGGGGCAAUUUAUAGUUUUACACAAGCAUAAAAAUCAUCUAUCAAACAUGUAUUUUAAGUCGGAGUUGACACAAAUAGCUGGUUAGUAAUUAACUUCAAAUCCUAUAAGUUGACAAUUUAAAUACUGCUUUCAAUUCCACCAGUUAGUCAGUAAAUUAUGCCUGAAUUAUAUGUAUAGUAUAUGCACAGGGAAAUCUAUCUGACUGUUCUUUUUUUUUUUAAAGAGUUCAUGUUUAUGAACAGAAAUACCCCACUAUAUACACAGAACUUGACAAGCGAUUGAUUUAGUUUAACAUAUCUGAUACUCCAUCUAUCAUGCAACACUUCUUGUAUACCUUAUAUGAAAAGAGCUUUUAAUCAAUUUCAUAAAAUAUUACAUAAUCUGUCAUUUUGUUUUGAGUUCGUCAACUGUUUAUCAUGCGAAUGUUGUCAGUGCCAUUUUAUGAAAUAAGGAUGCACAGUGUUUAUGGCCAUGAGCAGGUGUAAACUGUAACAGAAAGAUACUUAAACAAUUAUAUUCUUUCAUGUUCACAGGGAGUGUUUGUCAGAUUCUUGUUUUUACAUCAAUGAUAGGUUCUCACCAACAUAUGUACCUGCAGACUAUUUCUUUAGACCUUAGAAAUGUUUCUCUUGGGUUUCAUUAUUCAUAAGAAUUGUGAUUAAAAAUCAUUUUACCGCAAUAGAUCUGGAGGAAAAUGAAAAGGGUAAUUUUCUUUUCGAUUUCCAUCCCUUUUAAAUCCUUCUCUGGUUACAUCAUUAUGGUGCAUCAGUUCUAACUUGUGAUCAUGUGUGCUGUGUACAAGUUUCUUAGGAGAUCCAAAAUAAAUAAAUAAAAUAUAGAGAUAAGAUUAAAUCUUGCCUUGUUAUUUCCUUCAUGUCAUAAUUUGUUUCUUUCAAAAAUUGCUUUUCCCUUAUAUGUAAAUUGUAGCUAGUAGAUAAGGAAAUAUUUUUGACACAAAUGUAUGUCAAUGCCAUUUCCUUAUUUAGAGAAAAGGGUAAGUUUGAUUUGUUGAACAAGGAUCACUUUCUGAAUGAAGUUUGGAAAAAAGUUGAGAAUGAUCAGCUUUAUAUUUAAAGGGUCUAAUUAAUUACCAGUGGUUUUUAUAUAUUUCAGUGAAUUUUGCAAUGUUUAUUUUUUUUUAAACCAGUUUUCUGAAUUUAUUUGAAACAGAGGCCAGUAAUAUCUGGAUAUUUGUUGCGGCAGAAGCUUCAAAUUUCCCGCAACGACACAGUCAUUGCCCCAUUGAGAGCCCCUAAGAAAAA